This 253-nucleotide ribosomal RNA is filed under the name uncultured bacterium. RNAcentral describes it as "partial 16S ribosomal RNA". It matches the Rfam family "Bacterial small subunit ribosomal RNA", at positions 524 to 776 of the family's 1533-position model. The record is from RNAcentral.
UACAGAGGGUGCAAGCGUUAAUCGGAUUGACUGGGCGUAAAGGGCGCGUAGGCGGUUAUAUAAGAUAGAUGUGAAAUCCCUGGGCUUAACCUAGGAACGGCAUCUAAGACUGUAUAGCUGGAGUAUUGUAGAGGGUAGUGGAAUUUCCGGUGUAGCGGUGAAAUGCGUAGAUAUCGUAAGGAAGGCCGGUGGCGAAAGCGAACCUCUGGGCAGCAGCUGACGCUGUGGCACGAAGGCUAGGGGAGCAAACGGG